Molecule: long non-coding RNA, 678 nt
Organism: Hyaena hyaena (striped hyena)
Lineage: Eukaryota; Metazoa; Chordata; Mammalia; Carnivora; Hyaenidae
Exons: 4
Source: RefSeq, a predicted model, not a curated record
GGUAGCCAGAGAUGAUGACUCCUCUCUGUGACUGUUUUUCCUUGCUUCAAGGAACCUAAGUUUAUCAACAGUAAAAUUCAAUGGAAUCCUUGAGAGUCUGAUAUCAGGUGAAAGUGUCCCUUCUCUGGAAUCAGGACCUAUAGUUAGAAGUACAGAGAUUUGCAUGGGAUGGGGGGAUGGAGAGAAGGACGGAUUAUUAAGCAUGAAUGGGAAUGAGAGUAAGCAAGGAUGCAUGGAAAACUCCAUUAGGCACUUAAGACAAAUGAAACCUGAAGGUGAAGGCCACUCACUCUGCUAUAGGUCAACUAUUGUCUUUGAAUGAAGAUCUCCUGUUCAUUUAGGCAGAAAAUUCUAAGUGCCAUUCAACACUGCUCCUCUCAGGUGUGCAGCAGAAAUGAAUAUGAUAUGAAGAAUCAAGUUUCAUUUCUCAGCUUCUGCCACAUACAGCUAGAUUAAUAUUACUGUAUCUACAUCUGCUGAAAAAGGAUUACAUAAAAAAUUCAAAUCUGUGGAGAAAUUCUAUGAGAUCAGCAUUGAACAGGUUCAAUUUAAGAAGCCUCACAGGAAAUGGACACUGGAACCAGGAGGUGAUGAUAGCCCUUAUGAUCCAGAAAUUAGGUUCUUAUAUGUUCAUAGAACUACUUAUUGGCUGACUAAAAGAAUGAAAACAUGAAAGAC